Aethalodelphis obliquidens (Pacific white-sided dolphin) is the source of this 1411-nucleotide long non-coding RNA. RefSeq lists it as uncharacterized. Lineage: Eukaryota; Metazoa; Chordata; Mammalia; Artiodactyla; Delphinidae. The record is from RefSeq and is a predicted model, not a curated record. The transcript is spliced from 3 exons.
UACGGGUUAGGGUACGACAAAGGGUUACGCUUAGGGUACAUGUUAGGGUACGGAUUAGUGUUAGUGUACAGGUUAGGUUAGGGUACGGUUAGAGUAAGGGAUAGGGUAAUGGUUAAGUUUAGGAAAUGGGUAUGGUUUAGGGUAAAGGUUAGGUUAUGACAAUGGGUUAGGGUACAUCUUAGGGUAUGGGUUAGUUUUGGUUUAUGAGCUAGGAUUAGAGUAUGGGUUAGAGUUAGUGUUAGGGUUAGGGUACAGGUACAGUUAGGGUGUGACAAUGGGUUAGGCUUAGGGUACAUGUUAGGGUACAGAUUAGCGUUAGUGUAUGGGUUAGGAUUACGGUACAGUUUAGCGUACAACUGGUUAGGUUUAGGGUACGUGUUAGGGUUAGGGUAAGGGUUAGGAUUAGGGUUAGGACUAGGGAAUGGGUAUAGUUUGGAUACAGGUAAGGGUGUGACAAUGUGUUAGGGUUAGGGUACGUCUUAGGAUUAGGGUAAAGUUAAGGUAAGGCUUAGUGUAAGGGUUAGAGUUAGGGUUAGUUUUAGGGAAUGGGUACGGUUUAGGGUACAAGUUAGGUUAGGGUAUGUGUUAUGGUAUAGGUUAGUGUUAGUGUACGGUUUAGGAUUAGGGUACGGGUUAAGGUAAGGGUUAGGUUAAGGGUGAGGGUUAGGGUAUGACAGCAGGUUAGGGUUAGCGUUAGGGUUAGUGAACGGGUACACUUUAGGGUACGGGUUAGGACACGACAACAGGUUAAGGUUAGGUUACGUGUUAGUGUACGGUUUAGGAUUAGUGUACGGUUAGGGUAAGGGUUAGGGAUCGGGUACUGUUUAGGGUACAGUUGAGGGUACGACAAUGGGUUAGGGUACAUUUUAGGGUAUGGGUUAGUGUUAGCGUAUGGGUUAGGAUUAGGGUACGAGUUAGUGUAAGGGUUAUGUUUAGAGUAAGGGUUAGGGAACAAGUGCGGCUUAGGGUACAGGUUAGGGUAUGACAACGGGAUAGGGUUAGGGUACGGGUUAGUGUACGGGUUAGGAUUAGGGUAUAUGUUAGAAUAAGAGUAAGGGUUAGAGUUAGGUUUAGGGAACGGUUAUGGUUUAGCGUACAGGUUAGGGUAUGACAAAGGGUUAGGUCUUGGGUACGUGUUAGGGUACACAGUAGUGUUAGUGUAUGGAUUAGGAUUAGCAUAUGAGUUAGGGUAAGGGUUUGGGUUAGGGUACGGUUUAGAGUAUGGGUUAGUUUUGGUGUACAGGUUAGGAAUAGUGUGUGGGGUAGGGUAAGGAUUAGGGUAAGGGUAAGGGUUAAGGAUUGGGUAUGGUUUAGGUACAGGUUAGGGUACGGUAAUGGGUUAGCCUUAGGGUACUUAUCGGGGUACAGAUUAGCGUUAGUAUAAGGGUUAUUGUUAGGGUUAUUGUUAGGG